Vigna unguiculata (cowpea) is the source of this 2051-nucleotide long non-coding RNA. NCBI's taxonomy places the organism in Eukaryota, Viridiplantae, Streptophyta, Magnoliopsida, Fabales, Fabaceae. The record is from RefSeq and is a predicted model, not a curated record.
AGCAGGCACGGUUACCCAUCAUCACUGUACAAUAUAUACCACUCUCACACUCUUCCUCUCUCAGAUCCCUUCUUCACCUUCUUCGUCUUUUUCUUUCUAAUCAUUUUAUUUUUAUUUUUCUCAAACCAGUGUCAGAUAUUCCAACAAAACAACGCCAACAACCAUCUUUCUCUUCCAUUAAUCGGUUUAGGGUCACCUCCUUCAACUUGUUCAUAAACAAAAAAAAAUUAAUAUUAAUAACCAACUUUUGCAUGUUCAUUUAUCUCUUCAGAUCGAUCCUCCUUAGCUUUUCGUUUUUUGUUUUAUUUUUUUUAUAAUUUUCUAUUUCCAUUUUCAAUUUCAUGCGUUUAUUUCCCGCUUACAGAAUCUGAAAAACUUUUUUCUUUCAAUGUGUUUCUAGGAAGAUUCGGCUGAUCCGAUCCAUUGCAACCGUGUGACGACGUCGCUUUUGUUGUCCGACUGGCUAUUUUCUGAAACCUAGUACUCGGUUGUAUUGUGAGAGUGAGAUCUAGUAAUAUAAUAAAAUAAGCUUGGAUGGAAAUUAUAUAAAUGAGUUUGCUUUAGGGAUUUGGAACUCAAACCCUAACAGAGAGUGAGAUGGGGAUAAUUUCACGUUCUUGUCGUUACGAGAUCGAUCUUUUAGAUCUGUGAAGCAGAAGAUCAGAGAUUGACAUUUUUUACCAAAAUCAGCUUUGCAAAAGUUAUAAUGGAACAGUUGAUUCACGUGUUCGUAGUUGCUCCGAAGGUUUGCUACUUGACCUAACCUAAAGCUAUUACAACAAGUGAAUAGUUGUGUGUACAUGGUCUAUUUGUGAUUUCUUUAGGUGCAUUAAUGGAAGAUGAAAAAGUAACACCUUUGGGAUUGUUUGAUCAACUUCCCUAUGCUCAAGCAACUUUUGCCCCAACACCGUUUUCUCUUAGCCAGUUGCAGGAUUAUGUCAUGGAAUUUGAUCAAACACGCUUAUUAAAUGCAGCACACUUAAUGGUUUUGGCUCAUGUUACUUGCAAGGAGGCAUUACGAGCAUCAAUCUCUGGUCAACUAAGGACUUCACUUCAGAACCUAAAUAUUGUGGAGGACUUCACUUCAGAUAGUAUAUAAAACUAUGUUGGUUGGUUCACAUGAAGCAAUUAUAUGUGUACUAGCUGCUCAGAUUGCUAAUCUUGGCGAAAGUGUGAUUGGUGCUACACUUCAAGAGAAGGAAGGCUUUAAAUGGGUUGGUUCACGAAAGCAAUCAACGAAGUUUUACUAUACGAGCUUGAUGCCAUCCACAAGGUCAUUAAGUUUGAUCAUGAGCAUGACUUCACACAAGAAUUUCCUCUUCUGCUUGGUAAGGGCGAUGAAUUGAACAUUGUGACACAGCAAGCCAAUUUAUGUGUUGCUCCUAAAGGUGGUGAAAAUGAGCUCAUGUUUUAUUCUUUAGAUGCUCAUAACAACUCAAAUUCUUCACAGUAUAUUUCUCAGGAAAGUAGCUAUAGUAACAAUAGCGAUUGUAGUGGUGAUGACACUGUCUUCAUUUGUCUUCAUAUGUUGACAAAUAAUGUAUGUGUAUAUUCCUUAGAUGAGAAACAUUUUCCCCUUUUGCUCCAUUGCUUGUUAACAUUGCAACCGAGGAUAGUGUGAAGCUAUAUCAAGAUUUGGCAAGUGACAAAUUGGAGAUUUUUGAAUGCAAUCAAAUGGAACCUGUUGUUUUUCCCGCCAAGAGGAAGCUUGAUGAUGUCCCUGUUAAAGAUAAAAUCAAAACAAAUCAGAGAAUCACAAGAAAAAAGCUCAUGUUUUGAAAGAUGUGUAAGGAUGUAUGAAGAACAACACAUGGUGCAUGAAGAAUGAGAAACAUGACAGCAACAGGGAAGAUGCAGAAGAUACAAAUGCAGGAUCAGAUGGAUAAAGCUCUAGUAAUAACAUGUCAGAGGAUGAUAACAAGAAAAAUAUUUGAGGAUUCUAUUUUUGCAAUUCACUCUAAUAGACAUCCGAUGAAGUUCAAUUAGUACUAUCAACUUGUUUAACAUAUAUAAACACUACACAAGUCAAAUAUUAUUUUUAUGGGAUUGUU